This 447-nucleotide ribosomal RNA is filed under the name uncultured bacterium. RNAcentral describes it as "bacterial SSU rRNA". It matches the Rfam family "Bacterial small subunit ribosomal RNA", at positions 355 to 825 of the family's 1533-position model. The record is from RNAcentral.
UGGGGAAUCUUGGACAAUGGGCGCAAGCCUGAUCCAGCCAUGCCGCGUGAGUGAAGAAGGCCUUCGGGUUGUAAAGCUCUUUUACCAGGGACGAUAAUGACGGUACCUGGAGAAUAAGCCCCGGCAAACUUCGUGCCAGCAGCCGCGGUAAUACGAAGGGGGCUAGCGUUGUUCGGAAUUACUGGGCGUAAAGCGUGCGCAGGCGGCUCCUUAAGUCAGAUGUGAAAUCCCCGGGCUUAACCUGGGAACUGCGUUUGAAACUGAGGGGCUAGAGUGUGGAAGAGGGGGGUGGAAUUCCAGGUGUAGCAGUGAAAUGCGUAGAGAUCUGGAGGAACACCGAUGGCGAAGGCAGCCCCCUGGGCUAACACUGACGCUCAUGCACGAAAGCGUGGGGAGCAAACAGGAUUAGAUACCCAAGUAGUCCCUGAGCGGGCUGGCAAGGCGCAU